GGCAGGGUAUUUAUGGCCGGGCCCCGGGGGGCGGCGGCGGGGGAGCCAGGAGACCGCGCCGGGCAGCGGAUGAGGCGCGGCGGCUGCGGCCCAGGGCACCUCCCCCCGGCUUCCCGAACCCUGCCCGGUCCGACCCGAGGGGGAGGAUGGAAACACCAGCGGCGCUCUGAGCCCCUCCGGAAGACACCCCGCUCCCCGCCAUUACCACCCCGCGGACCUGAAGAAGCCACCGCCUCGUCCCCUCCGCGUCUCCAUCUCCAGAGCGGGGCCGAGCGGAAAAGCGAGCGAUGGCGGAAAACCUGAGGAGGCUGAUCUCGAACGAAUCUUUACGAUUGUUGCAGGGAAAGCUGGAGACCUGGGCGAAAGAGUAUAACAACAACUCAUGUGAUCAGAAUCUAAAUUUCUGCCUUGAACUCAUUGAACAAGUGGCCAAAGUACAGGGACAACUCUUUGGGAUCCUCACAACAGCAGCCCAGGAAGGAGGACGCAAUGAUGGUGUGGAAACAAUCAAGUCACGCCUUCUGCCUUGGCUGGAGGCUUCCUUUACUGCUGCUUCCCUGGGGAAGCCUGUUGACAGCAGGGUGCCCUCUCUACAGGACACAUUUGAUAGGGAGAGACAUAAGGAGUCUGAUCCUCGGGAUCGAGAUGUACAACUGGACUAUGAACUGAACACAACUCGUAUUCAACUCAACCAGGUUCAAGACGAGAAAUCUGAGAAAAGAAGUCAAAAGCAGCUCUACAGUGCAGUGAAUGAGAAUAGUCGUGCUGGAACUGGAAAGACUCUUGAAGAAACCAAGAACAGAUCGGUCAUCUCCCUUUUGGCUGCAGAGGAGGAAAUAAAUCAGCUAAAAAAGCAGCUUAAAUCUCUUCAAGCCCAGGAGGAGGCCCGCCACAGGAGCUCAGAGCCUAGGCACUCAGAUCAGCGAGGCUCUGACCUGCGGAAAUCGGACCAGGGGUGUGCGGUCAAGCGGAGCCCAGACCAGCGGGACCAGCGGGGCUCGGAUGUGAUUUCCGACUACGAGAAACAGCUCCGAAACCUGAAGGACGAGAUAGCCGUGCUGUCCGCUGAAAAAGCGAGUCUCCAAGGAAGGUCAGCCAGGAGCCGGUCUCCUAGCCCAGGCCCUCACAGCCGCAGCCACAGCCGCAGCCACAGCCGGAGCCGCAGCCGGAGCCGCAGCCGGAGCCGCAGUCGAUCUGCCAGCCCCUCCGCUGCAGUGGCCAAGAUCAGGAGCCCAUCCCCCAACCGCUCCAAACUGUCCAGCGUGGCGCGCAAGGCUGCCCUCCUGUCGCGGUUCAGCGACGCCUAUUCCCAGGCCCGCCUGGACGCGCAGUGCCUGCUGCGGCGCUGCAUCGACAAGGCCGAGACGGUGCAACGAAUCAUCUACAUCGCCGCAGUGGAGGCAUUCCAUGUAGCGAAAAUGGCCUUCAGACAUUUCAAGAUCCGUGUGAGGAAGUCACUGACAGCAUCCUACGUGGGGUCCAAUGACUUUGAAAAUGCUGUCUCGGACUACAUCGUUUGUCAUCUGGAUCUCUAUGACUCCCAAAGCAGUGUUAAUGAUGUGAUCCGAGCCAUGAAUGUCAACCCCAAGAUAUCAUUCCCUCCUGAGGUUGACUUUUGCCUCCUCAGCGACUUCAUCCAGGAGAUAUGUUGCAUCGCUUUUGCCAUGCAGUCAUUAGAGCCACCUCUAGAUAUUGCAUUUGGGGCAGAUGGAGAGAUUUUUAAUGAUUGCAAGUACCGCCGCAGCUAUGACUCGGAUUUCACAGCUCCCUUGGUCUUGUAUCACGUGUGGCCUGCUCUCAUGGAGAAUGACUGUGUCAUUAUGAAGGGAGAAGCUGUCACCAGGAGAGGGGCUUUUGUACGGUGGCCUUGCAUAAUGACAGUUCAUCCCAAGUGUUUGAUUCACAAUGGAAUUCAGUUCGAUCUGUAAGUCGAUGUCGAAGCAGGAGUUUGAGUCCGGUCUGCCCACGUAGCCGUAUUGGUUUAAGCACGCUAUCUCGAAGUCGGAGCCCUUCUCCAAUAAGAUGUUCAUUGCCAAGGUUUUGAAACCAACAGAGGUGCUCCUUUGCCACAGCCCACCAUCACAUCUUCUCCAGUGUCUCCAUCCGCCUGCCUUGUCUGCCUCCAACCUCACUUACCUUAAUGUGAAAAGGCAAUUCUGUGUAUCACUCCACACAGAGAGUUAAAUGCUUUGGCUUAGCGUGUUGUAACUUUA
RNA transcript from Oryctolagus cuniculus (rabbit), 2213 nucleotides. It is a transcript of the gene named spermatogenesis associated 18, with no coding region annotated. The record is from RefSeq and is a predicted model, not a curated record. Lineage: Eukaryota; Metazoa; Chordata; Mammalia; Lagomorpha; Leporidae.